This 1367-nucleotide ribosomal RNA is filed under the name uncultured bacterium. RNAcentral describes it as "16S ribosomal RNA". It matches the Rfam family "Bacterial small subunit ribosomal RNA". The record is from RNAcentral.
UUCGCCCUUAGAGUUUGAUCCUUGCUCAGGACGAACGCUGGCGGCGCGCCUAACACAUGCAAGUCGAACGAGCGAGAGAGAGCUUGCUUUCUCGAGCGAGUGGCGAACGGGUGAGUAACGCGUGAGGAACCUGCCUCAAAGAGGGGGACAACAGUUGGAAACGACUGCUAAUACCGCAUAAGCCCACGGUGCCGCAUGGCACAGAGGGAAAAGGAGCAAUCCGCUUUGAGAUGGCCUCGCGUCCGAUUAGCUAGUUGGUGAGGUAACGGCCCACCAAGGCGACGAUCGGUAGCCGGACUGAGAGGUUGAACGGCCACAUUGGGACUGAGACACGGCCCAGACUCCUACGGGAGGCAGCAGUGGGGAAUAUUGCACAAUGGGGGAAACCCUGAUGCAGCGACGCCGCGUGGAGGAAGAAGGUCUUCGGAUUGUAAGCUCCUGUUGUUGGGGAAGAUAAUGACGGUACCCAACAAGGAAGUGACGGCUAACUACGUGCCAGCAGCCGCGGUAAAACGUAGGUCACAAGCGUUGUCCGGAAUUACUGGGUGUAAAGGGAGCGCAGGCGGGAAGACAAGUUGGAAGUGAAAUCUAUGGGCUCAACCCAUAAACUGCUUUCAAAACUGUUUUUCUUGAGUAGUGCAGAGGUAGGCGGAAUUCCCGGUGUAGCGGUGGAAUGCGUAGAUAUCGGGAGGAACACCAGUGGCGAAGGCGGCCUACUGGGCACCAACUGACGCUGAGGCUCGAAAGUGUGGGUAGCAAACAGGAUUAGAUACCCUGGUAGUCCACACCGUAAACGAUGAUUACUAGGUGUUGGAGGAUUGACCCCUUCAGUGCCGCAGUUAACACAAUAAGUAAUCCACCUGGGGAGUACGACCGCAAGGUUGAAACUCAAAGGAAUUGACGGGGGCCCGCACAAGCAGUGGAGUAUGUGGUUUAAUUCGACGCAACGCGAAGAACCUUACCAAGUCUUGACAUCCCUUGACAGACAUAGAAAUAUGUAAUCUCUUCGGAGCAAGGAGACAGGUGGUGCAUGGUUGUCGUCAGCACGUGUCGUGAGAUGUUGGGUUAAGUCCCGCAACGAGCGCAACCCUUAUGGUCAGUUACUACGCAAGAGGACUCUGGCCAGACUGCCGUUGACAAAACGGAGGAAGGUGGGGAUGACGUCAAAUCAUCAUGCCCUUUAUGACUUGGGCUACACACGUACUACAAUGGCGUUAAACAAAGAGAAGCAAGACCGCGAGGUGGAGCAAAACUCAGAAACAACGUCCCAGUUCGGACUGCAGGCUGCAACUCGCCUGCACGAAGUCGGAAUUGCUAGUAAUCGUGGAUCAGCACGCCCCGGUGAAAACGUUCCCGGGCCUUGCACA